CCCCGGGGCAGAGCCGCGAACGGGUGAGUAACACGUGGGUUACCUACCCCAAUGACCGGGACAACCCGAGGAAACUCGGGCUAAUACCGGAUGUGGUCUUCGGACGAAAGGAAGCUUCGGCCUCCGCAUUGGGAUGGGCCCGCGGCGCAUUAGCUUGUUGGUGGGGUAACGGCCUACCAAGGCGACGAUGCGUAGCUGGUCUGAGAGGACGAUCAGCCACACUGGGACUGAGACACGGCCCAG
This 243-nucleotide ribosomal RNA is filed under the name uncultured bacterium. Its description in RNAcentral is "partial 16S ribosomal RNA". It matches the Rfam family "Bacterial small subunit ribosomal RNA", at positions 83 to 334 of the family's 1533-position model. The record is from RNAcentral.